Molecule: long non-coding RNA, 307 nt
Organism: Mus musculus (house mouse)
Lineage: Eukaryota; Metazoa; Chordata; Mammalia; Rodentia; Muridae
Product: predicted gene, 30190
Exons: 3
Source: RefSeq, a predicted model, not a curated record
CAGCAGAGGUGCGCCAGCUGGUGCGGAAACCCUGUGCUACCGUUGCUCUGGGCCACAACACGGCUCCCGUAGAACACAGCUCUUCGUAACGGUGCCCUCAAGGAGGAUGCUUCCAAAAUAUCCCAGUUCUUCCCUUUAAUUAGGCCCAAAAACCUGUGUAUGCACUGACUACAAAAUAAGCAGGCACCUUCUACAAUUUUUACAGGCAAUCCAGGGAAGAGCAUCCAAGUUGAAGGAAAAUGUAGUCUCCCGUCUCCCAGCCUGAAACCUGCUUACUCAGGGGUGGAGCUUCCCGCUCAAUCUUUCU